Molecule: ribosomal RNA, 447 nt
Filed under: uncultured bacterium
Lineage: Bacteria
Description: partial 16S ribosomal RNA
Rfam family: Bacterial small subunit ribosomal RNA
Source: RNAcentral
AACGAACGCUGGCGGCAGGCCUAAAACAUGCAAGUCGAACGAACCUUCGGGUUAGUGGCGCACGGGUGCGUAACGCGUGGGAAUAUACCUCUGGGUGCGGAACAACGUUUGGAAACGAACGCUAAUACCGCAUAAUAUCUACGGAUCAAAGAUUUAUCGCCCAGAGAUUAGCCCGCGUCUGAUUAGCUAGUUGGUGAGGUAGUGGCUCACCAAGGCGACGAUCAGUAGCUGGUCUGAGAGGAUGAUCAGCCACACUGGAACUGAGACACGGUCCAGACUCCUACGGGAGGCAGCAGUUAGGAAUAUUGGACAAUGGGGGAAACCCUGAUCCAGCCAUGCCGCGUGUGUGAAGAAGGCCUUAGGGUUGUAAAGCACUUUCAGCCGUGAAGAUAAUGACAGUAGCGGAAGAAGAAGCUCCGGCUAAAUUCGUGCCAGCAGCCGCAGUAA